AGUGAACGCUGGCGGUAGGCCUAACACAUGCAAGUCGAACGGCAGCACAGUAAGAGCUUGCUCUUACGGGUGGCGAGUGGCGGACGGGUGAGGAAUACAUCGGAAUCUACUUUUUCGUGGGGGAUAACGUAGGGAAACUUACGCUAAUACCGCAUACGACCUACGGGUUAAAGCAGGGGAUCUUCGGACCUUGCGCGAUUGAAUGAGCCGAUGUCGGAUUAGCUAGUUGGCGGGGUAAAGGCCCACCAAGGCGACGAUCCGUAGCUGGUCUGAGAGGAUGAUCAGCCACACUGGAACUGAGACACGGUCCAGACUCCUACGGGAGGCAGCAGUGGGGAAUAUUGGACAAUGGGCGCAAGCCUGAUCCAGCCAUACCGCGUGGGUGAAGAAGGCCUUCGGGUUGUAAAGCCCUUUUGUUGGGAAAGAAAAGCAGCAGGUUAAUACCCCGCUGUUCUGACGGAACCCAAAGAAUAAGCACCGGCUAACUUCGU
RNAcentral lists this ribosomal RNA (491 nucleotides) under uncultured bacterium. RNAcentral's name for it is "partial 16S ribosomal RNA". It matches the Rfam family "Bacterial small subunit ribosomal RNA", at positions 29 to 506 of the family's 1533-position model. The record is from RNAcentral.